This 491-nucleotide ribosomal RNA is filed under the name uncultured bacterium. RNAcentral describes it as "partial 16S ribosomal RNA". It matches the Rfam family "Bacterial small subunit ribosomal RNA", at positions 29 to 506 of the family's 1533-position model. The record is from RNAcentral.
AGUGAACGCUGGCGGUAGGCCUAACACAUGCAAGUCGAACGGCAGCACAGUAAGAGCUUGCUCUUACGGGUGGCGAGUGGCGGACGGGUGAGGAAUACAUCGGAAUCUACUUUUUCGUGGGGGAUAACGUAGGGAAACUUACGCUAAUACCGCAUACGACCUACGGGUGAAAGCAGGGGAUCUUCGGACCUUGCGCGAUUGAAUGAGCCGAUGUCGGAUUAGCUAGUUGGCAGGGUAAAGGCCCACCAAGGCGACGAUCCGUAGCUGGUCUGAGAGGAUGAUCAGCCACACUGGAACUGAGACACGGUCCAGACUCCUACGGGAGGCAGCAGUGGGGAAUAUUGGACAGUGGGCGCAAGCCUGGUCCAGCCAUACCGCGUGGGUGAAGAAGGCCUUCGGGUUGUAAAGCCCUUUUGUUGGGAAAGAAAAGCAGCAGGUUAAUACCCCGCUGUUCUGACGGUACCCAAAGAAUAAGCACCGGCUAACUUCGG